AUGAAGCGACGCCGCGUGCGGGAUGAAGUCUUUCGGGAUGUAAACCGCUGACAGGGGGGACGAUGGCAUUUGCAGCUAAUAUCUGCAGAUGUUGACGGUACCCCCAAAGGAAGCACCGGCUAACUACGUGCCAGCAGCCGCGGUAA
Molecule: ribosomal RNA, 146 nt
Filed under: uncultured bacterium
Lineage: Bacteria
Description: partial 16S ribosomal RNA
Rfam family: Bacterial small subunit ribosomal RNA
Source: RNAcentral